UGGGGAAUAUUGCACAAUGGGCGAAAGCCUGAUGCAGCGACGCCGCGUGAGGGAUGACGGCCUUCGGGUUGUAAACCUCUUUCAGUAGGGACGAGGCGCAAGUGACGGUACCUGCAGAAGAAGCACCGGCUAACUACGUGCCAGCAGCCGCGGUAAUACGUAGGGUGCGAGCGUUGUCCGGAAUUACUGGGCGUAAAGAGCUCGUAGGCGGUUUGUCACGUCGUCUGUGAAAUCCUAGGGCUUAACCCUGGACGUGCAGGCGAUACGGGCUGACUUGAGUACUACAGGGGAGGCUGGAAUUUCUGGUGUAGCGGUGGAAUGCACAGAUAUCAGGAAGAACACCGAUGGCGAAGGCAGGUCUCUGGGUAGUAACUGACGCUGAGGAGCGAAAGCAUGGGUAGCGAACAGG
This 409-nucleotide ribosomal RNA is filed under the name bacterium. RNAcentral's name for it is "partial 16S ribosomal RNA". It matches the Rfam family "Bacterial small subunit ribosomal RNA", at positions 355 to 776 of the family's 1533-position model. The record is from RNAcentral.